CCUACGGGGGGCAGCAGUGAGGAAUAUUGGUCAAUGGGCGCGAGCCUGAACCAGCCAAGUCGCGUGAGGGAGGACGGCCCUACGGGUUGUAAACCUCUUUUGCCGGGGAGCAACGGGCGUCACGUGUGGCGUCACUGAGAGUACCCGGAGAAAAAGCAUCGGCUAACUCCGUGCCAGCAGCCGCGGUAAUACGGAGUAUGCGAGCGUUAUCCGGAUUGAUGGGGUUUAAAGGGUGCGUAGGCGGAUCGUUAAGUCAGUGGUCAAAUUGAGGGGCCCAACCCCUUCCCGCCAUUGUAACUGGCGAUCUUGAGUGGAAGAGAAGUAUGCGGAAUGCGUGGUGUAGCGGUGAAAUGCAUAGAUAUCACGCAGAACCCCGAUUGCGAAGGCAGCAUGCCGGCUUCCGACUGACGCUGAAGCACGAAAGCGUGGGGAUCGAACAGGAUUAGAUACCCUGUAGUC
RNAcentral lists this ribosomal RNA (459 nucleotides) under uncultured bacterium. RNAcentral's name for it is "partial 16S ribosomal RNA". It matches the Rfam family "Bacterial small subunit ribosomal RNA", at positions 338 to 795 of the family's 1533-position model. The record is from RNAcentral.